Molecule: ribosomal RNA, 279 nt
Filed under: uncultured bacterium
Lineage: Bacteria
Description: partial 16S ribosomal RNA
Rfam family: Bacterial small subunit ribosomal RNA
Source: RNAcentral
UGCCAGCCGCCGCGGUAAUACGAGGGGUGCAAGCGUUAAUCGGAAUUACUGGGCGUAAAGCGUUCGUAGGCGGUUGAAUAAGCAAGAUGUGAAAGCCCAGGGCUCAACCUUGGAACUGCAUUUUGAACUGUUCGACUAGAGUACUGUAGAGGGUGGUGGAAUUUCCAGUGUAGCGGUGAAAUGCGUAGAGAUUGGAAGGAACAUCAGUGGCGAAGGCGGCCACCUGGACAGAUACUGACGCUGAGGAACGAAAGCGUGGGGAGCGAACAGGAUUAGAUA